CCAGAAUCCACUAUCCUCCAUGGAGACAGACACCGUCAAGGACAAGCACCUGAACUAUCUCCUCCCGCAAAGAGAUAAGGGCUGGUGGGAAAGCUGCUGACCAGCAAGGUCAUGAGCUCCCUCCUCUCUCCAAGUGUCUCAAGGCCGAAGACAGGCUGGUGGGAAAGCUCCGACCAGCAAGGCCAUAUGCUCCCCCUCCCCUACCUAAAACCCCAAAUAAAAACCCUUCCUUUUAGCUUUUCGGGGAGUUUGGAAUUUCAGCAUUAGCUGCCCUCUCUACUUGCUCAGGGCUGUGCAAAAAUAAAAUUCCUACUUUCUUCCACCACCCCCGGUGUCAGAGAUUGGCUUGCUGCGCAACGGACAGCCUGCCGCUGAGGACUUCUGCAGGGACUGCCCUGGGGGAAAGGAGCUGCCUCACCCACAGUUCUCGGGAAUCCCACGCCAGACGCUGGGGCAGAAAGACCCAACCCCUCCACUCCAGCCUCACCUCAACUUGGACAUUUCUGCAGCUACCUCUCAGCUCCACAGCUCUCCAUGGAACUGCUGAGGCCUCAGGAGUAACUGCCUCACAGCUCAGUUUCUCCCUCUGCCCAAUCCUGCCUGCCUCCCUUGUGAGUGUUGAUCCCAGGAGCAGUCCUCAGUCAACUUCCUGCCACAAAUCUCUACAUCAUGGUCUAUUUGCUGGGAGCCCAACCGAAAAGUCAAGUGUAGAUUUCCAUCAGGCACAUGCCAGGGGUGGCAUGGGGUGCCACGUCUGCAUGAGGCCAUCUCUAGUAGCCGCUGUGGCAGAGGUAGAGCCAGGCCUGAGUCCCAGGUUGGCCCCAACACACCUGCGGCCUGAGCAGAGUCUCUCGACUGUUGUAAGCCUCUGUAUCUUCACAGUGAAACAGAACAGAAGCUCGCCAGCAAUGACUGACGAUCCCAGCAGUUGAUGCCUGUUGACCAGCAGUCCUGAUUGCUGUGUGAAACAGUUGACUGCACCAUCCAGAGUGCACAUGGGUCAGAUCCUCUCACCACUUCCUACUUGACUUUAGCCCUUUCCUGUCCCAGUUUCCUCAUCUGUAAACUGGAGCUAAUAAUAGGAUUUACUUUCUAAGACUGGUGAGGGGUAAGUGGGAUGACCCAAGUAAAUGGAGAUGGUAAAGAAGUGUGAGGAGGGGGCUGGCCCCGUGGCCGAGUGGUUAAGUUCACAUGCUCCACUUCAGUGGCCAAGGGUUCACAGGUUCAGAUCCUGGGCGAGGACCUGCACACCGCUCAUCAGGCCACACAGAGGUGGCAUCACACGUAGCAGAGCUAGAACAACUUACAACUGGGAUAUACAACUAUGUACGGGGUCUUUGGGGGAAAGGAAAAAAAAGAAAAAGAAAAGAAGAGGAAGACUGGCAAUAGAUGUUAGCUCAGGGCGGAUCUUAAAAAAAAAUGUGAGGAAAUCAGGUGGGCCUAUUGAGUCCUCGGUAAAGGGUGGCCUUUAUCAGGGCCUAAGGUGUCUCCCUGGACCUGGAGGGCCUCAGAAAGGCAAACUGCCCCCUUAAAUCAGGCCAUAUCUGGAUGGACACCUGGAUACACCUGUGACAAUUAAUAAACAGAAACCUCAUUAAACAGAGUCAGGAGGCCAGAAAGGGGAACUCUGGUGCUCCACAUCAUAGCAAAGCAGAACCCAACAGGAAGCAGAAAGACUUCCUCUUCUUGACCGGCAAGAAACUCAGCCAAUGAAAAGCCACUGCACCUUGUUCAACAAACUCUUUGUUCGCAAUAGCCCUCCCAACUUCCUCUUCUCCUCUAUGAAAGAGGUUCUCCUCCUUUUGCUGCUCCAGGAUUUGCAUGUGGUGCUUAUACUUCAGCCAAGGGCAGAACCACCAACAUUUAUACUGAUGGAGAUACACUUUCAGAGUAGCUCAUGAUUUCUGAAGGUUGUGGAAAAAACAUGGCUUCCUUACUUCCAGCAAAAUAAAAUUAAAAAUGAUCCCUAUAUUCACGAAUUAUUGGAUGGUACACACUUACCUGCUGCUUUAGCUAUUAUUAAGAUCUAGGGACAUUCUAAACUUGACUCUCUGGAAACUAAAGGAAAUCACCUUGCUGACAUUUCCGCAAGGAAUGCAGCCCUUAAGAGAACCAACAACAGCCAAACCUCUGCAUGUCCAAAGGGAUAUUUCCCCAAAUGAUGACUUAGAAAAACUGGCUGGAGAAGCCCAACAACUGGCCUGAGAAAAGGAAAAACAAGGGUGGAAAUUUAAUUAGGAGGGACCUUCUUCAACCUCACUGGAAAGACCUCUAUCAGGUACUAUUAACUAAUUCAUGUGCAACAAAACUCCAAGGACCAGACUCUUAAUUCACGUGACACACCUACAGAAAGCACCAAUCCCUGAGUGGACCUGCACACCGUCUGGUAACUUAAAACCAAAGAUUUCCCAGAAUUGAAGCAGAGGACUUCUGAUGAGACAGCUUCCCCAAGAUGUCCAGACCAGGCCUGUUGGAGGUUUGUCUGCAAACUUUUGAUGAUGACAUAAUGCUUCAGAUGACCUCUGAUGCUUACGAUCUUGACAACAUGUGGACUUUAGAAAAGAGAAAUGCCUGAGAGUUCUCCCUCCUACCUCUCCUUGUUACUCAAAUGUGACCUCAGUAGGUUUCCAAUCUGUGCACUUUCACUCUGACCUGGGACACGACACCCAGGAAAGGUCCUUCCUCACGUUGAGGGGCAAAAGGCUGAUGAAAUUGGAAAAACCUGGCUCUUGAUCAGCAAUGCCUUCAGAUAAAGAUCUUGAUCAAAAGGGGAAAUGUGGAAAUUAAUAAACAGAAAGCUCAUUACAUUGGAGUUGGAAGGCCAAAAGGAGUAACUUUCAAGCCCUACGUCAACAGCAGAGCCCAACAGGAGGAGAAAUGCUUCCUCUUCUUGACUGCCAGGAAGCCCAACCACUGAGAGACUGUCACAGCUCAGCCAACGAAAAGCCACCACACCUGGGGCUCCCAGUCUCCUCCAGGGGACUCUUUGUUUACAAGAGCCCUCCCAACUUCCUCUUCCCUUCUAUAAGAGUUUCACUUCCCUUGGUGCUUGGGGACUCACACGUGGCUCACCAGGGUUGCAGACCCCAAAUAGCAAUUCUUCACUAAUCCCCAAUAAGCCCGUUUUUGCUGGAGAAAUAACUGGAUGUCUAUUUGUUUAAGGUCACAAAUACAACUAAGAAUGCUUUUAUCUAAAUGAAUGGUUGUAUUUUACAAAAGAUGUGCAUUGAGAUAGGAAAUUAUCCACAGGGUUUGGAAGGUUUAGUCUGUCCACCCACCUGCCCCAGGCUCUGUCCAGGUAAGAGGGUGCUAAGUGCCUGGUCCCUGCUCACCUAUUUCCUUCUGGUUUCCCCUUGUUGCCUAGCACAAAUGUCUAUUCUGGCUUAUAUCUCACUGCAAAUCUGGGCUUUGUUCAUGCAUCCCUUUGAGCUUGGUUAAUGAAGUGAGCACAUAAGAAAUGGACACCUUUCUGAUGUACUGGCGGAAGGAGGUGUGACUAGAGGGUGUGGCAGCAAUCCUGGAGAGAGGUGAUGGCAGCAGUGGAGUUGUCUGGAACUGCUCAGUG
This is a long non-coding RNA of Equus caballus (horse), 3565 nucleotides long. The record is from Ensembl. Lineage: Eukaryota; Metazoa; Chordata; Mammalia; Perissodactyla; Equidae.